This 495-nucleotide ribosomal RNA is filed under the name uncultured bacterium. Its description in RNAcentral is "partial 16S ribosomal RNA". It matches the Rfam family "Bacterial small subunit ribosomal RNA", at positions 28 to 507 of the family's 1533-position model. The record is from RNAcentral.
GACGAACGCUGGCGGCGUGCCUAAUACAUGCCAGUAGAACGCUGAAGGAGGAGCUUGCUCUUCUGGAUGAGUUGCGCACGGGUGAGUAACGCGCAGGUAACCUGCCUCGUAGCGGGGGAUAACUAUUGGAAACGAUAGCUAAUAUCGCAUAAGAGUUGAUGUUGCAUGACAUUUGCUUAAAAGGUGCAAUUUCAUUACUACCAGAUGGACCUGCGUUGGAUUAGUUAGUUGGUGGGGUCACGGCUCACCACGGCGACGAUACAUAGUCGGCCUGGGAGGGGGGUCGGCCACACGGGGACUGAGGCACGGCCCAAGCUUCUGCGGGGGGCAGCCGUAGGGAAACUUCGGCAAUGGAGGGAAGGCUGGCCGGGCAACGCCGCGGGGGUGGAGAAGGUUUUCGGGACGUAAAGAUCUGUUGUAAAGGAAGAACGAGUGUGAGAGUGGAAAGUUCACACUGUGACGGUAUCUUACCAGAAAGGGACGGCUAACUACGUG